This 489-nucleotide long non-coding RNA is filed under the name Cyanistes caeruleus (blue tit). RNAcentral's name for it is "lncRNA (ENSCCEG00000019331.1)". Lineage: Eukaryota; Metazoa; Chordata; Aves; Passeriformes; Paridae. The record is from RNAcentral.
UGCAGUGUUCCACAUCUACCACCCUGUAAAGGUCACAGUGGGAGCCCAGCUUUGCUCUGUGCCUCCACCAACAGCUGAGCAAGGUUUUGGCUGGCCUCCCACCCUCUGCCCUUAGUCAUCCUGCAGUCUGGGGAUGCACGAUCUGGAUGGCAAAAGAGCGAGCUCAUGCUACUGAACCCUCCUUAUGAUGCAGCUCUUAUGCCUAAUUCAUCAGGCACCUUGGAGAGCCAUCAACUCAUCAACAGCCACAUGGUGGCUUUCAAAAUUGCUGCAGUCAUAGACAAAGAUUGUGUUAGGAAAUUUCAGCUGUUUCAUUCAUUGAAGAAUGUUUGCUCUGAUCUGGAAUCUCCAGCCCAACCUCAAAUACUCAUUAAGGCAGGAUUUAUCCUGAUAGACUGGAAUUACGAAAGUUCACGAGUGCUCCAGGAGCCACAUGAGGAUAAAUAUAGAUUCAAUCAAAUCAAAUCAAGUUUGGCAAUAAAGAUGUAA